This 383-nucleotide ribosomal RNA is filed under the name uncultured bacterium. RNAcentral describes it as "bacterial SSU rRNA". It matches the Rfam family "Bacterial small subunit ribosomal RNA", at positions 29 to 402 of the family's 1533-position model. The record is from RNAcentral.
AACGAACGCUGGCGGCGCGCUUAACACAUGCAAGUCGAACGAGAAGGCGUAGCAAUACGCUGGUACAGUGGCGAACGGGUGAGGAAUACAUGGGUAACCUACCCUCGAGUGGGGGAUAACCCGCCGAAAGGCGGGCUAAUACCGCGUACGCUUCCGAUCUUGCGGGAUCGGAAGGAAAAGCUCUCCCAAGGGGAUGGCGCUCAAGGAUGGGCUCAUGUCCUAUCAGCUUGUUGGAGGGUAACGGCCUACCAAGGCAUCGACGGGUAGCUGGUCUGAGAGGACGAUCAGCCACACUGGCACUGCGACACGGGCCAGACUCCUACGGGAGGCAGCAGUGAGGAAUAUUGCGCAAUGGGCGAAAGCCUGACGCAGCGACGCCGCGG